This 489-nucleotide ribosomal RNA is filed under the name uncultured bacterium. RNAcentral's name for it is "bacterial SSU rRNA". It matches the Rfam family "Bacterial small subunit ribosomal RNA", at positions 30 to 507 of the family's 1533-position model. The record is from RNAcentral.
UUGAACGCUGGCGGCAGGCCUAACACAUGCAAGUCGAACGGUAACAGGAAGCAACUUGCUGCUUCGCUGACGAGUGGCGGACGGGUGAGUAAUGUCUGGGAAGCUGCCUGAUGGAGGGGGAUAACUACUGGAAACGGUAGCUAAUACCGCAUAAUGUCGCAAGACCAAAGAGGGGGACCUUCGGGCCUCUUGCCAUCGGAUGUGCCCAGAUGGGAUUAGCUUGUUGGUGGGGUAACGGCUCACCAAGGCGACGAUCCCUAGCUGGUCGGAGAGGAUGACCAGCCACACUGGAACUGAGACACGGUCCAGACUCCUACGGGAGGCAGCAGUGGGGAAUAUUGCACAAUGGGCGCAAGCCUGAUGCAGCCAUGCCGCGUGUAUGAAGAAGGCCUUCGGGUUGUAAAGUACUUUCAGCGGGGAGGAAGGGAGUAAAGUUAAUACCUUUGCUCAUUGACGUUACCCGCAGAAGAAGCACCGGCUAACUCCGUG